CAUACAUUUCACAUACUUAAUUAUGAAUUAAGUUUUGAAUGAUCUAAAUUUGAGAAUUGAAGAUCAUUAAGACACCACAUAAAAUGAUGGGCAAAGGGUUAGCAUGAAUCAAAUCUUUCUAAUGGGUUAGACCUAGGGUUAGAAAUACAUAUGGAUCAUGUAAAAAAAUUGAUUAAAUCUAAUCAAGUGUUGAAUUAGAUCAAAUCAGUAUUUCUUUAAAUCAAUCUCAAUAGUUGUAGUUUGAUCAAGUUCAUGUGUUUGACCCUAAUAAAUGGAUCA
RNAcentral lists this long non-coding RNA (279 nucleotides) under Elaeis guineensis (African oil palm). RNAcentral's name for it is "long non-coding RNA (EGUI_LNC054613)". The record is from RNAcentral. Lineage: Eukaryota; Viridiplantae; Streptophyta; Magnoliopsida; Arecales; Arecaceae.